UAUUCGAUACUUGGUGUGAAUUGCAGAAUUCAGUGAAUCAUCGAAUCUUUGAACGCCCCUAUGCGCUCCUUGGUAUUCCGAGGAGCAUGCCUGUUUGAGUGUCAUGAAAUUCUCAACCUUUGUUACUUUUUUUGUUUCAAAGAGUCUGGAAGUGGAGGUUGCUGGCUUUUGUUGAAAGAGUCGGCUCCUCUGAAAUACAUUAGUGGGACCCAUCGUUGAUUAGCUCCCUGGUGUGAUAGUUAUCUACGCCGUGGCUCAUCACUAUAUUGUGUGGUUCUAGUUUUCUACCUGAGUCUGACAGGGGCUGAUCUUUGCUUAUUUUGUACCUCAUAUCAGGUAGCAGACUGACCACGCUGAACUUAAGCAUAUCAAUAAGCGGAGGAAA
This 385-nucleotide ribosomal RNA is filed under the name Calocybe sp. BAB-3648. RNAcentral's name for it is "eukaryotic LSU rRNA". The stretch from base 1 to 104 matches the Rfam family "5.8S ribosomal RNA", at positions 52 to 154 of the family's 154-position model. The record is from RNAcentral. Lineage: Eukaryota; Fungi; Basidiomycota; Agaricomycetes; Agaricales; Lyophyllaceae.